This 90-nucleotide non-coding RNA is filed under the name pig gut metagenome. Its description in RNAcentral is "TPP riboswitch (THI element)". It matches the Rfam family "TPP riboswitch aptamer (THI element)", at positions 10 to 89 of the family's 105-position model. Rfam says of the family: Vitamin B(1) in its active form thiamin pyrophosphate (TPP) is an essential coenzyme that is synthesised by coupling of pyrimidine and thiazole moieties in bacteria. The previously detected thiamin-regulatory element, thi box was extended, resulting in a new, highly conserved RNA secondary structure, the THI element, which is widely distributed in eubacteria and also occurs in some archaea. Analysis of operon structures identified a large number of new candidate thiamin-regulated genes, mostly transporters, in various prokaryotic organisms. The record is from RNAcentral.
AGGCUGGGGUGCUUGCUUAAGCAGGCUGAGAUUAAGCUGGAUUGCUUUGACCCAUGAACCUGAUUUGGAUAAUGCCAACGUAGGGAGAGA